Molecule: ribosomal RNA, 1570 nt
Filed under: Salinivibrio kushneri
Lineage: Bacteria; Pseudomonadati; Pseudomonadota; Gammaproteobacteria; Vibrionales; Vibrionaceae
Description: bacterial SSU rRNA
Rfam family: Bacterial small subunit ribosomal RNA
Source: RNAcentral
AAAUUGAAGAGUUUGAUCAUGGCUCAGAUUGAACGCUGGCGGCAGGCCUAACACAUGCAAGUCGAGCGGAAACGGCAGCAUUGAAGCUUCGGUGGAUUUGCUGGACGUCGAGCGGCGGACGGGUGAGUAACGGCUGGGAACCUGCCCUGACGAGGGGGAUAACCGUUGGAAACGACGGCUAAUACCGCAUAAUGUCUUAGUUCAUUACGAGCUGGGACCAAAGGUGGCCUCUACAUGUAAGCUAUCGCGUUGGGAUGGGCCCAGUUAGGAUUAGCUAGUUGGUAAGGUAAUGGCUUACCAAGGCAACGAUCCUUAGCUGGUUUGAGAGGAUGAUCAGCCACACUGGGACUGAGACACGGCCCAGACUCCUACGGGAGGCAGCAGUGGGGAAUAUUGCACAAUGGGGGAGACCCUGAUGCAGCCAUGCCGCGUGUGUGAAGAAGGCCUUCGGGUUGUAAAGCACUUUCAGCAGUGAGGAAGGUGGUGUACUUAAUACGUGCAUUGCUUGACGUUAGCUGCAGAAGAAGCACCGGCUAACUCCGUGCCAGCAGCCGCGGUAAUACGGAGGGUGCGAGCGUUAAUCGGAAUUACUGGGCGUAAAGCGCAUGCAGGCGGUUUGUUAAGUCAGAUGUGAAAGCCCGGGGCUCAACCUCGGAACCGCAUUUGAAACUGGCAGGCUAGAGUCUUGUAGAGGGGGGUAGAAUUUCAGGUGUAGCGGUGAAAUGCGUAGAGAUCUGAAGGAAUACCAGUGGCGAAGGCGGCCCCCUGGACAAAGACUGACGCUCAGAUGCGAAAGCGUGGGUAGCAAACAGGAUUAGAUACCCUGGUAGUCCACGCCGUAAACGCUGUCUACUUGGAGGUUGAGGUUUAAGACUUUGGCUUUCGGCGCUAACGCAUUAAGUAGACCGCCUGGGGAGUACGGCCGCAAGGUUAAAACUCAAAUGAAUUGACGGGGGCCCGCACAAGCGGUGGAGCAUGUGGUUUAAUUCGAUGCAACGCGAAGAACCUUACCUACUCUUGACAUCCAGAGAACUUUCCAGAGAUGGAUUGGUGCCUUCGGGAACUCUGAGACAGGUGCUGCAUGGCUGUCGUCAGCUCGUGUUGUGAAAUGUUGGGUUAAGUCCCGCAACGAGCGCAACCCUUAUCCUUGUUUGCCAGCACGUAAUGGUGGGAACUCCAGGGAGACUGCCGGUGAUAAACCGGAGGAAGGUGGGGACGACGUCAAGUCAUCAUGGCCCUUACGAGUAGGGCUACACACGUGCUACAAUGGCAGAUACAGAGGGCAGCGAAGCUGCGAAGUGGAGCGAAUCCCUUAAAGUCUGUCGUAGUCCGGAUUGGAGUCUGCAACUCGACUCCAUGAAGUCGGAAUCGCUAGUAAUCGUGGAUCAGAAUGCCACGGUGAAUACGUUCCCGGGCCUUGUACACACCGCCCGUCACACCAUGGGAGUGGGCUGCACCAGAAGUAGAUAGCUUAACCUUCGGGAGGGCGUUUACCACGGUGUGGUUCAUGACUGGGGUGAAGUCGUAACAAGGUAGCCCUAGGGGAACCUGGGGCUGGAUCACCUCCUUA